RNAcentral lists this ribosomal RNA (465 nucleotides) under uncultured Klebsiella sp. RNAcentral describes it as "bacterial SSU rRNA". It matches the Rfam family "Bacterial small subunit ribosomal RNA", at positions 338 to 795 of the family's 1533-position model. Lineage: Bacteria; Pseudomonadati; Pseudomonadota; Gammaproteobacteria; Enterobacterales; Enterobacteriaceae. The record is from RNAcentral.
CCUACGGGAGGCAGCAGUGGGGAAUAUUGCACAAUGGGCGCAAGCCUGAUGCAGCCAUGCCGCGUGUGUGAAGAAGGCCUUCGGGUUGUAAAGCACUUUCAGCGGGGAGGAAGGCGGUGAGGUUAAUAACCUCAUCGAUUGACGUUACCCGCAGAAGAAGCACCGGCUAACUCCGUGCCAGCAGCCGCGGUAAUACGGAGGGUGCAAGCGUUAAUCGGAAUUACUGGGCGUAAAGCGCACGCAGGCGGUCUGUCAAGUCGGAUGUGAAAUCCCCGGGCUCAACCUGGGAACUGCAUUCGAAACUGGCAGGCUAGAGUCUUGUAGAGGGGGGUAGAAUUCCAGGUGUAGCGGUGAAAUGCGUAGAGAGCUGGAGGAAUACCGGUGGCGAAGGCGGCCCCCUGGACAAAGACUGACGCUCAGGUGCGAAAGCGUGGGGAGCAAACAGGAUUAGAUACCCCAGUAGUC